RNAcentral lists this small RNA (738 nucleotides) under Pan troglodytes (chimpanzee). RNAcentral's name for it is "processed transcript". Lineage: Eukaryota; Metazoa; Chordata; Mammalia; Primates; Hominidae. The record is from RNAcentral.
CAGGGGUGUGCGGAAAGUCCCAGCCAGGGUUUCAGAAGCUGCCAGAGGAGGAGCCAGAAACAGAUCUCAGCCCCGGGCUCCCAGCUGCCCACCUCAUAGGCGCUCCGCUGAAGGGGCAGGGGCUAGGCUGGGAGACGACGAAGGAACAGGCGUUUCUGACGAGCGGGACGCAGUUCUCGGACGCCGAGGGGCUGGCGCUCCCGCAGGACGGCCUCUAUUACCUCUACUGUCUCGUCGGCUACCGGGGCCGGACGCCCCCUGGCGGCGGGGACCCCCAGGGCCGCUCGGUCACGCUGCGCAGCUCUCUGUACCGGGCGGGGGGCGCCUACGGGCCGGGCACUCCCGAGCUGCUGCUCGAGGGCGCCGAGACGGUGACUCCAGUGCUGGACCCGGCCAGGAGACAAGGGUACGGGCCUCUCUGGUACACGAGCGUGGGGUUCGGCGGCCUGGUGCAGCUCCGGAGGGGCGAGAGGGUGUACGUCAACAUCAGUCACCCCGAUAUGGUGGACUUCGCGAGAGGGAAGACCUUCUUUGGGGCCGUGAUGGUGGGGUGAGGGAAUAUGAGUGCGUGGUGCGAGUGCGUGAAUAUUGGGGGCCCGGACGCCCAGGACCCCAUGGCAGUGGGAAAAAUGUAGGAGACUGUUUGGAAAUUGAUUUUGAGCCUGAUGAAAAUAAAGAAUGGAAAGCUUCAGUGCUGCCGAUAAAGAUGCUGAGUUGCGACACACGUCUUAAUUCAGG